Molecule: long non-coding RNA, 767 nt
Filed under: Urocitellus parryii (Arctic ground squirrel)
Lineage: Eukaryota; Metazoa; Chordata; Mammalia; Rodentia; Sciuridae
Description: lncRNA (ENSUPAG00010004421.1)
Source: RNAcentral
AGAUCAUCUCUCUACACUAACUGCCUAACUUUUGUUCUUGCUUCACUAGGAGGCAGAACUAGGAGGUCUGCAGCUGGUUAUUCUGAAAAACCUGGAGUUGCAGAGUAGCUCUGUAGACUGUCCUUUUGUAAAAGAAAUUGCCCCUGUGAAAGAAAUCUGCAUUAGAAAAGAGGGCUACUCCCAGGGACUUCGGAACCACCUUCAUUCACAUCACAGUUCCUCCCUCUUGCCCCUGUGAAAGAAAUCUGCAUUAGUAAAGAGGGCUGCUCCCAGAGUCUUCCACUACCUGGGAAACUGCGGAACAACCUUCAUUCACAUCACAGUUCCUCCCUCGCCUUCCCAGACUGUGUCCACCCCAGGAGUCCCCAAGCUCUGUCCCUUCCAGGAGCUCUGGUGCUGGGUAACAGCCAACUGACCCUUCUUCAGCUCACAUUUUGUGGACCUGCAGGGGAAGGGGCUCGGGCUGGAGAAGUCUCCAGUCAGAGGCAUGGAGUGUCCUCAGUGCCAGCAUGUCUCCCAGGAGGAGGCCCCCAAGUUCUGCAGCCAGUGUGGAMAGAGGCUGCCUCCUGCAACCCCCAGACCAGAGUCUGAGAACGACAGCUCCUUGGUGGCCCCGGCCCUGGAGGAAGAGAUGGAGUGUGGAAAAGUGCYGAAAGAAAAUGGGGACCUGCACUUGUCCCCAGGCUCCAGCGAUCGCCAGGAAAAUGCAGCUGAGCCCAGUUGUGACGACGGGACCUGGACUGUCCAAAGAGUGAGUGAUCUAUGCU